AGGCCUGUAGCUUAGAGGAUUAAAGCAUAUGACUAUGAACCACAGUGUCGGGGUUCGAAUCCCUCCUCACCUA
Lupinus angustifolius (narrow-leaved blue lupine) is the source of this 73-nucleotide transfer RNA. It matches the Rfam family "tRNA". From Rfam's summary of the family: Transfer RNA (tRNA) molecules are approximately 80 nucleotides in length. Their secondary structure includes four short double-helical elements and three loops (D, anti-codon, and T loops). Further hydrogen bonds mediate the characteristic L-shaped molecular structure. tRNAs have two regions of fundamental functional importance: the anti-codon, which is responsible for specific mRNA codon recognition, and the 3' end, to which the tRNAs corresponding amino acid is attached (by aminoacyl-tRNA synthetases). tRNAs cope with the degeneracy of the genetic code in two manners: having more than one tRNA (with a specific anti-codon) for a particular amino acid; and 'wobble' base-pairing, i.e. permitting non-standard base-pairing at the 3rd anti-codon position. The record is from Rfam. NCBI's taxonomy places the organism in Eukaryota, Viridiplantae, Streptophyta, Magnoliopsida, Fabales, Fabaceae.